GAUGAAGAACGUAGUGAAAUGCGAUAAGUAAUGUGAAUUGCAGAAUUCAGUGAAUCAUCGAAUCUUUGAACGCUCAUUGCGACCCCUGGUAUUCCGGGGGGCAUGCCUGUUCGAGCGUCAUUUCACCACUCAAGCCUCGCUUGGUAUUGGGCAACGCGGUCCGCCGCGUGCCUCAAAUCGACCGGCUGGGUCUUCUGUCCCCUAAGCGUUGUGGAAACUAUUCGCUAAAGGGUGUUCGGGAGGCUACGCCGUAAAACAACCCCAUUUCUAAGGUUGACCUCGGAUCAGGUAGGGAUACCCGCUGAACUUAAGCAUAUCAAUAAGCGGAGGA
RNAcentral lists this unclassified non-coding RNA (331 nucleotides) under soil metagenome. RNAcentral describes it as "partial contains 5.8S ribosomal RNA, internal transcribed spacer 2, and large subunit ribosomal RNA". The stretch from base 1 to 120 matches the Rfam family "5.8S ribosomal RNA", at positions 35 to 154 of the family's 154-position model. The record is from RNAcentral.